GUUUGUUGAACUCUUUUUACAAAUACGCAAAAAGAAGUUGUUCAUUGAAGAACAUUAACUCGAUUCCUUUGUUGAUGCCUGAGGUGCCAAAACAAAAUGAUGACAAAAGUUGUGGUUUCUAUGUCUUGUUCUAUACAACUCAGUUCUUGAAGAUGUGUCCUUAUACGUUCAGCUUAAUGGCUGAUUAUCCCUCAUUUAUGAGUAAAACUUGGUUUACUGCUGAAGAUGUCGAAGAAUUGCGCAGUGGUUUGUUGAAUCUUUUUCGGAAAACAGG
Daucus carota subsp. sativus is the source of this 274-nucleotide long non-coding RNA. RefSeq lists it as uncharacterized. The record is from RefSeq and is a predicted model, not a curated record. Lineage: Eukaryota; Viridiplantae; Streptophyta; Magnoliopsida; Apiales; Apiaceae. The transcript is spliced from 3 exons.